AGAGCCUUUCUCAGUGAGGGUGUCUGAAGCAUGAGGGUCUGGCAGGGGCAGGCUGGUGCAGGCGGCACUGAAGAUGACCCCUCAGCAUUAAAGUUUGUCUAUUUCUAGCCAACAUCUAUAGAUUAGAAAUACAGUGGAGGCUUGACACAUAAACCUACGGAGAAAAACACUAGAAUAAGCGAAAAUGGAGAUAGAAUUGGCCUUAGGUAAUGUGCACACACACACUUACACACAUGGAUUCUGAUAGAAUUGGCCUUAGGUAAUGUACACACACACAUACUUACACACAUGGAUUCUGAUAGAAUUAGCCUUAGGUAAUGUGCACACACACACACUUACACACAUGGAUUCUGAUAGAAUUGGCCUUAGGUAAUGUACACACACACAUUUACACACAUGGAUUCUGAUAGAAUUGGCCUUAGGUAAUGUACACACACACAUACUUACACACAUGGAUUCUGAUAGAAUUAGCCUUAGGUAAUAUACACACACACAUACUUACACACAUGGAUUCUGAUAGAAUUGGCCUUAGGUAAUGUACAUACACACAUACUUACACACAUGGGUUCUGAUAGAAUUGGCCUUAAGUAAUGUACACACACACAUACUUACACACAUGGGUUCUGAUAGAAUUGGCCUUAGGUAAUGUACACACACAGAUACUUACACACAUGGAUUCUUAGCAUAAACCAGUAAUCCAUAAUUUAUUUGAGUGGCAACCUGUCAUCAUAGGCAAGCAGGUGCACUUGUAGACUUGGUGUGGUAUCUGUAGCUUGGCUGCCACGCUAGACAUUGUGUUAGCAGUUACUAUGUCUAAUAGAUGCCUGGUUAGGAUUGGUUCUUGCAUCACUAACCUAAUUCUUCUAUCUUUUCCCC
Molecule: long non-coding RNA, 876 nt
Organism: Alexandromys fortis (reed vole)
Lineage: Eukaryota; Metazoa; Chordata; Mammalia; Rodentia; Cricetidae
Exons: 3
Source: RefSeq, a predicted model, not a curated record